Long non-coding RNA from Gallus gallus (chicken), 1199 nucleotides. Lineage: Eukaryota; Metazoa; Chordata; Aves; Galliformes; Phasianidae. The record is from Ensembl.
UCCAACCUUAGUGAUUCUAUGAUUCUAUGAUUCUAUAAAUGAUGGUUCUGUUAGAGUUCUCUUACAAGUAUGGCUUGAAUUUUGGGUGGUCAUUUGUGCAGCCAGGAGCUGUACUCAAUGACAAGUGUGGGUCCCUUCCAGCUCAGGAUAUUCCAGAAUUCUAUGACGAUGGGCUGAAGGAAUGAAAAGUCUUAUGAAGUAUUAUUAAUGACGAGAAUUUGGUCUAGAUGCGGCACAUGAGGUGUGACUAUCUCAUGUUUUGAUGACUCUACAGUCAUGCAGGGGAAUAGGAACAUGUAUUGUCUUACUUACUGUUGUUUAUAGAUGGAAAGGUUGAUUUGCCAAAUACUAUCUGAAUCACUGACAGUUAAUUAAAGGAAGCCUUUGCUCAUCAGUAGGUCAAAAAGGGUGACAUAUACUUCUCAUCAGUCACAUUUCUCAUUCAGAGUUUCUCAUUCAUACAGUUUCACAGGAGAUUCCUCUGUUAACCAGCUGUUUCAGAAAUGUGUCAUAUGACAAAUGUCAAGACCUGUAUUCUUAUUUUUUUUAACUUUGAACAUAAAAUCUCCAUUGAAUAUAAACAUAAGAUAUUAAAUAUAUUUUUGUGUAUAGCUCUCUACUUAAAUAUAUAUUUAAGUUCUAUUCUGGUUCACUCUGAGGCUUUGCCUCAAGCCUUUCUUAUUCCCAUAGCUUUUCACUGAAAAUUAGAAAAUAUAUAUUGUUAUCCUCCGAGAUGGCUCUCUUCUCAUGUGUAGCAGUUUUGCACUAGCCUUCACAGGAGGAACACUAAAUGAAAUAGAUUGCACAGGUUUCCCAAACAGCCAGAAAGAAAGAAAAUAAAAUAAAUCAAACAAGCAGCAUUUCCGUGAUUAUAUCUGUUUUACAAGCCUAGCGUGGAAUCAGACAAACAACAGUAAGCAUCAGCCUGCAGUUAGAACUAUUUUUGAAAAUACCACUCCUUUCCCCUUGUUCUUUCUGCUCCAAGAGCCCCAUCACAGGCACUGGCACUCAGAGAUAAUCUCCCUGAAUAUCUGAGGCGUAGAAGCCAACAGGAUUAAAGCACCUCGUGCUCCUCAGCACGGUCAUGUGAUGACCUGCUGAUCCCAGCAAAAGGCAUCGUUUCCCAGCAGAGCUCUCACUUAUUUCCCUAGAUGUUGUUCCUGCCUUCCUGAGAUUCUCUGUAGUCAUUACUCUUGUAG